CCUCAUGCCCACGUUCCGCAAACCCCUCCCAUGCUGAUGCAAAAACGUUUGGCGGCGACCCAUGGAACCACGAGGUGACGAGGAGAUGCGGGAGCUCGACUUCUCCAAUCCCCAGGGGCGGGUCUCCGAGGAUGUGGUGGCAAUGGCGGCGACACGACAACAAGGUGCACGACCUCCGAAUCCUCGCAUGCCCCGUCCUCAUCGCCGGUGGAGCCACCUCCGCUAACCGCAGCUCGCUAACCAGUCCCUCGCCGGGGAAGAAGCUACGCGGGACUUUUCCACUGCCGCCUGACCUACUUCGAGAUUAGAAGCGGCGGCAGCGGCUGCCCGCCAUAUUGCGAUCCCAACUCAUGCUCGUUGUGUCGCCAAGCAUCAGGUAUUCAUAAGAAAGGGACCACCUAUCUAACAACAGUCGGUGAUGAUCGGUGAUGGUGGCUUGGCAAGGUUAGGUAUUUAUUUUAUUCUUUUUAUGGUUUGCUCUCUAUAUGAAUUAGUAUUUUUUUUCUGUGUUCGCGGCAAUGCUCAUCCUCUAAUAUGGUGGCUCAUUCAAUUUUUAUAAUACAGACGUUUUUUUAUUCAGUAAACAUAUGGACUUAAAUAAAAGUUCAAAUAAAACUUACACUCUGCAGGUGAAAGUAGCGAUAUUUGUACAUUUCUGGAACUGAAAGGAUACAUACCACCUGUUGUUUUCCUGUAGGUAUGUAGAAUGGACACCUUGCAAAUUCAGUAGAAUGCUUAGAUAACAUGUUGAUUAUUUGUGCCUACAUGCUUACCUGGUUGUUUCUUCCAGUAGCAUCAAGGAAUUUGUUGGCGUUCCAGUAAUUUAAGCUUUCAUUUUUACUUUUAUUCUGCUGAUAACUAUGACAUAGGCUUUUAUCAAUUUUGGAUGCCGAUUGUUGAUCCCCAAUAUAUUUUACUCUUUUUUCUUCAGAUUCUUUUUCGGGACAAUAAUAAAAUCACAAACCACCAGUAGAAUGAUCUUAUUAGGUUUUCUUAGGAAGCCAUAAGUGGUCUGUUGUCUCCAAGGAUAGUGAACAAGAGACACUAUCUGCAGUUCUUGUCAAUACGCUUGACUCCGGUAUUCGAUUGUCUUGCUAACUAUAUUCUUUAUAAUUUAACAUAACCAUGCUUUGAUUACUGAAUAUGUUCCACACAUUCAAUCGAGAAUUACCGAAUGCUCCGCACAUAGGAAAUGCUCUAAUGAUGGCAUACCUGUAGCUGACAAUGGACCAAUUAGUGCCAUGCUUCAUCAUGCUUGAUGUGGCAGCACCAGAGCACUGCGUCUUUUCUGAAAGGUCAUCAGUAAGCAUUGAUCGGAAGGUUCCACAUGCACAUUGAAUUGAUAUAAGAAAUUAAUAACAGGACAAGACACAGAAGGAAAUUGAAAAGUACGAGGUAAAUGUACUAUUUUUUUUUGAGCUUUAGUUGCCUAGCAUUUCUCCUUUCUUAGUUGUAAUGAAAUGUGCGAAAAUUAGUCAGGUCAACCAUAUUUGAGUUGUGUAUUAUAACAGCUAUCAAAGGUUGUUUGCACCAGGCCUACAGUAUGCUCGCCAAAUUCAUUAUAUUUUUUGAAAAAUAAAAAAAUUGAUUAUUAUUUGAAAUUGUGAGAGAAUACUGAUUCCUCCAUGCUAUGCAAUUCUAGGAUCCUGAGCAUUUCUUACCUUGGUUACAAAUGAAUACAUUGUAAUGAUCUGGUUACCUUUCUUGUGAGAUUUAUCCAAUAACUUGGAUUAACUUUAAUGGAAGUUUACAAGAAUCAGGGAAGCAUCAUUGCCUCUGGAAUUUGGCAUAUAACCAUGAGGUAAUUACUAGAUAAUGAGAAUAUUUUUUGUUGAUGGGAGCACCAGGUAAUGGUAAUGGUGAUGGGAUUAUCUGUUUGGCCUUGCUGUUACGUGCAUGCAGCUCGUUUUAACUUCUGAUGUUGUUCCUUGAUUUUCAGAAAGAAGGUUAGUAAAAGGGAGGAAAAUCAGAGGCAGUCCUCCACAGCAAUAGAAAUUAGUCUUUAAGUUUUUUUUUCCAGAAGGAAGCCUGCUUGAAACUUCUUUAAGCUGAAAAUGUUUAAGCUUGAGAAAAUGUUAUUGGAAUUAAUGUAAUCUGAAAGGGUUUCUAUGUUGAUAUUACCUGCUCAUUGUUUUCUAUGCAUUUUGAGUUGACGUGUUGGAAAAUAAAAAUACAGUAGUGCUUCACAAGGUUUAAGUUGAUAUUACCUGCUCAGUGUUUUCUAUGCAUUUUGAGUUGACAUGUUAGAAAAUAAAAAUACAGUAGUGCUUCACAAGGUUUUAAGUUGAUAUUACCUGCUCAAUGUUUUCUAUGCAUUUUGAGUUGACAUGUUAGAAAAUAAAAAUACAGUAGUACUUCACAAGGUUUAUAUAGCUGUCUAGAAAUUUGGUGCAUGGAUUUUUUUUUCUUAUGAAAACUCAAGAAUUCUGAAUUCUUGUUCUGCUGCUCAUAGUCAACUCCACCUAGCUCACGAUGCUUGGUCCUGGACUGAUGGAGUAUAGAGCUUGUGCAUGCAGGGCAGGCCUGCGCUGUGGUGAACAACUGCAACCACCACGAAGUCUCUGUCCCCAACACUUUUGGUGUUACCUUUAGUUUUCGCUUCCUGAUAAAAGUAUCUUGCAUUUCAUUUCUGCUGCUGAAUAUGAGGAGAGCACCGAAGGGUGCGAGGACUGCAGGAUCUUGGAUGGACGUGCAUAAACAAUAGUAAAUGUUUAAGGGAAACAUAUAUAUAAUAUCUUUGUGCCUGAUCCGGAGGUCACUUUUAUAUGUGUUUAUUGGGUCA
Long non-coding RNA from Setaria italica (foxtail millet), 2782 nucleotides. RefSeq lists it as uncharacterized. Lineage: Eukaryota; Viridiplantae; Streptophyta; Magnoliopsida; Poales; Poaceae. The record is from RefSeq and is a predicted model, not a curated record. The transcript has 2 exons.